GACGAACGCUGGCGGCGUGCUUAACACAUGCAAGUCGAACGGAAAGGCCUCUUUCGGGGGGUACUCGAGUGGCGAACGGGUGAGUAACACGUGAGUAACCUGCCCUUGACUUUGGGAUAACUUCAGUAAACUGGGGCUAAUACCGGAUAGGAGCUCCUGCUGCAUGGUGGGGGUUGGAAAGUUUCGGCGGUUGGGGAUGGACUCGCGGCUUAUCAGCUUGUUGGUGGGGUAGUGGCUUACCAAGGCCUUGACGGGUAGCCGGCCUGAGAGGGUGACCGGCCACAUUGGGACUGAGAGACGGCCCAGACUCCUACGGGAGGCAGCAGUGGGGAAUAUUGCACAAUGGGUGGAAGCCUGAUGCAGCAACGCCGUGUGCGGGAUGACGGCCUUCGGGUUAUAAACCGCUUUCGCUCAUGACGAAGCUUUGUGUGACGGUAGUGGGUAAAGAAGCACCGGCUAACUACGUG
RNAcentral lists this ribosomal RNA (467 nucleotides) under uncultured bacterium. RNAcentral describes it as "partial 16S ribosomal RNA". It matches the Rfam family "Bacterial small subunit ribosomal RNA", at positions 28 to 507 of the family's 1533-position model. The record is from RNAcentral.